UCUUUAAAACGUUCAAAUGUUUCUGAAUCUAUUGCUUGUAGUUUGUCGAUUCUCGUUCCUCCACUUUUCACAUCUUUCUUCCACUGUUCCAAAUAAUCUUUUCUUUUUAAGCGAUGUCCACCCAUUUUAUGGAGAGUCUGCAAAUUCCAAUGUGGAUGUGCUUCAGCAAGGGCAACAACUUUUGCUUUGUAUUCCAAGGGAAUAUAAUCUGAAGGAGGCUGUGAAUAAUCACUUGGAUUGUAUUCGUCAUCCAUUGUAGGAUCGUCUGUGCACUAUCAGGACAUUAAAUAUUAUUUAAAAAAUUUUAUAUUUAUAGCUAACAUGAUAUUCACAAAACAGAAGGAAAAC
This 348-nucleotide long non-coding RNA is filed under the name Androctonus crassicauda. The record is from RNAcentral. Lineage: Eukaryota; Metazoa; Arthropoda; Arachnida; Scorpiones; Buthidae.